GCCCUUUUCCGGUUGAUCCUGCCGGAGGCCAUUGCUAUUGGGAUCCGAUUUAGCCAUGCUAGUUGCACGAGUUCAGACUCGUAGCGAAUAGCUCAGUAACACGUGGCCAAACUACCCUUCGGAGCACCAUACCCUCGGGAAACUGAGGCUAAUAGUGCAUCCCGCACUCACCCUGGAAUGGCGAGUGCGUCAAACGCUCCGGCGCCGAAGGAUGUGGCUGCGGCCGAUUAGGUAGACGGUGGGGUAACGGCCCACCGUGCCGAUAAUCGGUACGGGUCAUGAGAGUGAGAACCCGGAGACGGAAUCUGAGACAAGAUUCCGGGCCCUACGGGGCGCAGCAGGCGCGAAACCUUUACACUGCACGACAGUGCGAUAAGGGGAUCCCAAGUGCACAGGCAUAGAGCCUGUGCUUUUGUACACCGUAGGGAAGUGUACGAAUAAGGGCUGGGCAAGACCGGUGCCAGCCGCCGCGGUAAUACCGGCAGCCCAAGUGAUGGCCGAUCUUAUUGGGCCUAAAGCGUCCGUAGCUGGCCGCACAAGUCCAUCGGGAAAUCCACCCGCCCAACGGGUGGCCGUCCGGUGGAAACUGUGUGGCUUGGGACCGGAAGGCGCGACGGGUACGUCCGGGGUAGGAGUGAAAUCCCGUAAUCCUGGACGGACCGCCGAUGGCGAAAGCACGUCGCGAAAACGGAUCCGACAGUGAGGGACGAAAGCUAGGGUCUCGAACCGGAUUAGAUACCCGGGUAGUCCUAGCCGUAAACAAUGCCUGCUAGGUGUGGCUCCCACUACGAGUGGGUGCUGUGCCGUA
Molecule: ribosomal RNA, 808 nt
Filed under: uncultured archaeon
Lineage: Archaea
Description: bacterial SSU rRNA
Rfam family: Archaeal small subunit ribosomal RNA
Source: RNAcentral